CCUACGGGAGGCAGCAGUGGGGAAUAUUGCACAAUGGGGGAAACCCUGAUGCAGCGACGCCGCGUGAAGGAAGAAGUAUUUCGGUAUGUAAACUUCUAUCAGCAGGGAAGAAAAUGCCGGUACCUGACUACGAAGCCCCGGCUAACUACGUGCCAGCAGCCGCGGUAAUACGUAGGGGGCAAGCGUUAUCCGGAUUUACUGGGGGUAAAGGGAGCGUAGGCGGUUUAGCAAGUCAGAAGUGAAACCCCGGGGCUCAACUCCGGGACUGCUUUUGAAACUGUUGAACUAGAUUGCAGGAGAGGUAAGUGGAAUGCCUAGUGUAGCGGUGAAAUGCGUAGAUAUUAGGAGGAACACCAGUGGCGAAGGCGGCGUACUGGACUGUAAAUGACGCUGAGGCUCGAAAGCGUGGGGAGCAAACAGGAUUAGAUACCCGGGUAGUC
This 440-nucleotide ribosomal RNA is filed under the name uncultured bacterium. RNAcentral's name for it is "partial 16S ribosomal RNA". It matches the Rfam family "Bacterial small subunit ribosomal RNA", at positions 338 to 795 of the family's 1533-position model. The record is from RNAcentral.